This 348-nucleotide unclassified non-coding RNA is filed under the name soil metagenome. RNAcentral describes it as "partial contains 5.8S ribosomal RNA, internal transcribed spacer 2, and large subunit ribosomal RNA". The stretch from base 1 to 120 matches the Rfam family "5.8S ribosomal RNA", at positions 35 to 154 of the family's 154-position model. The record is from RNAcentral.
GAUGAAGAACGCAGCGAAAUGCGAUAAGUAAUGUGAAUUGCAGAAUUCAGUGAAUCAUCGAAUCUUUGAACGCACAUUGCGCCCGCCAGUAUUCUGGCGGGCAUGCCUGUCUGAGCGUCAUUUCAACCCUCAUGCCCCUAGGGCGUGGUGUUGGGGAUCGGCCAAAGCCCGCGAGGGACGGCCGGCCCCUAAAUCUAGUGGCGGACCCGUCGUGGCCUCCUCUGCGAAGUAGAGAUAUUCCGCAUCGGAGAGCGAUGAGCCCCUGCCGUUAAACCCCCAACUUUCCAAGGUUGACCUCAGAUCAGGUAGGAAUACCCGCUGAACUUAAGCAUAUCAAUAAGCGGAGGA